RNAcentral lists this ribosomal RNA (819 nucleotides) under uncultured Caldilineae bacterium. RNAcentral's name for it is "bacterial SSU rRNA". It matches the Rfam family "Bacterial small subunit ribosomal RNA", at positions 8 to 844 of the family's 1533-position model. Lineage: Bacteria; Bacillati; Chloroflexota; Caldilineae. The record is from RNAcentral.
AGGGUUUGAUCCUGGCUCAGGAUGAACGCUGGCGGCGUGCCUAACACAUGCAAGUCGAACGUGAGAGCUUAGCAAUAGGCUUGAAAGUGGCGAACGGGUGAGUAACACGUAGGUAACCUGCCGCGCAGAGGGGGAUAACCACUGGAAACGGUGGCUAAUACCGCAUGGUACUAUCGAGGGGGGACCCUGGAUGGUUAAAACCUUGGUGCUGCGCGAGGGGCCUGCGUCCGAUUAGUUAGUUGGUGAGGUAAUGGCUCACCAAGGCGAUGAUCGGUAGCUGGUCUGAGAGGAUGAUCAGUCACACGGGAACUGAGACACGGUCCCGACUCCUACGGGGGGCAGCAGUGAGGAAUAUUGCACAAUGGACGCAAGUCUGAUGCAGCAACGCCGCGUGGAGGAUGACGGCCCUUGGGUUGUAAACUCCUUUUUUCAGGGAAGAGCAAGGACGGUACCUGAAGAAUAAGUCACGGCUAACUACGUGCCAGCAGCCGCGGUAAUACGUAGGUGGCAAGCGUUAUCCGGAAUUACUGGGCGUAAAGCGCACGCAGGCGGCUAGUCAAGUUCGACGUGAAAGCUCCCGGCUUAACUGGGAGAGGUCGUUGAAAACUGGUUAGCUUGAGGCAAUGAGAGGGGUGUAGAAUUCCCGGUGUAGUGGUGGAAUGCGUAGAUAUCGGGAGGAAUACCAGUGGCGAAAGCGGCACCCUAGCGUUAGCCUGACGCUCAUGUGCGAAAGCGUGGGGAGCGAACGGGAUUAGAUACCCCGGUAGUCCACGCCGUAAACGAUGAACACUAGGUGUAGGUGGUGUGAAAGCUAUCUGU